CCUACGGGUGGCAGCAGUGAGGAAUAUUGGGCAAUGGGCGCAACCCUGAACCAGCCAAGUCGCGUGAGGGAAUAAGGCCCUACGGGUCGUAAACCUCUUUUGCCGGGGAGCAAGCGCGGGGUCGUGUCCCGUCCCGGAGAGUACCCGGAGAAAAAGCAUCGGCUGACUCCGUGCCAGCAGCCGCGGGAAUACGGAGGAUGCGUGCGUGAUCCGGAUUUAUUGGGUUUGAAGGGUGCGUAGGCGGGCUUUUAAGUCAGCGGUAAAAAUUCGGGGCUCAACCCCGGCCUGCCGUUGAAACUGGGGGCCUUGAGUGGGCGAGAAGAAGGCGGAAUGCGUGGUGUAGCGGUGAAAUGCAUAGAUAUCACGCAGAACCCCGAUUGCGAAGGCAGCCUUCCGGCGCCCUACUGACGCUGAGGCACGAAAGUGCGGGGAUCGAACAGGAUUAGAUACCCGUGUAGUC
Molecule: ribosomal RNA, 460 nt
Filed under: uncultured bacterium
Lineage: Bacteria
Description: partial 16S ribosomal RNA
Rfam family: Bacterial small subunit ribosomal RNA
Source: RNAcentral